CACGGGGUUGCAAGCGUUGUCCGGAAUUACUAGGCGUAAAGGGCAGGCAGGCGGAUCCAUAAGUUUAUCGUUUAAGGCGUCGGCUUAACCGGCGUAGGGCGGUAGAUACUGUGGAUCUGGAAUGCGGUUGGGGAAGACGGAAUUCCUGGUGUAGCGGUGGAAUGCGCAGAGAUCAGGAGGAAUACCGAAGGCGAAGGCAGUCUUCCAAGCCGUUAUUGACGCUCAACUGCGAAGGUGUGGGUAUCAAACAGGAUUAGAUACCCUGGUAGUCCCUGAG
This 277-nucleotide ribosomal RNA is filed under the name uncultured prokaryote. RNAcentral's name for it is "partial 16S ribosomal RNA". It matches the Rfam family "Bacterial small subunit ribosomal RNA", at positions 524 to 801 of the family's 1533-position model. The record is from RNAcentral.